UCUGCUAUUCAUUCAAGUCUUUCUCAGUCACCUCUGUUUGUCUUUCAUCUGAUUUACAGAUGUGCUAAAGUUCCCAAAAUAAAUAGGGAUAUUCAGUGAACCACAAUAUCUGGAAGAUAAAGCAAGUGCUUACCUGUUGGCAUUGCCAUCUGCUCUGUUUUGGAUUGAGAAAGGCCAGAGACAGGUGCACCAGGGCUGGUAGUACGACUCUGCUCUACAUUGACUUGAAGGAUCUACACUGUGGCCUUUGUCCAAGUUGGCUUCCACAACCCAGAUGGCAGGAUGAAGGAACAUAGAAGUUGGGGAAGGCCAUGUGACAGAUGCCUGUUAAGGUAGGAUUGAGGAAGCUGCCACAUAGCGCUCUGAGGCGUAGCACAUUGGCCAGGACUUAGGUUCACCCCCAAACCUUGCUACAAAGGAGACAGGGACAUGCUACCUUUCUUCAGGUGACCUCGUGCCUCGCUAAAAUUUUCUAUGAAAAAGAAGAGG
This 489-nucleotide long non-coding RNA is filed under the name Felis catus (domestic cat). RNAcentral's name for it is "lncRNA (ENSFCAG00000047530.1)". Lineage: Eukaryota; Metazoa; Chordata; Mammalia; Carnivora; Felidae. The record is from RNAcentral.